CGGGGUGUAGCGCAGUUUGGUAGCGCACAUGGUUUGGGACCAUGGAGUCGGGGGUUCGAAUCCCUCCACCCCGACCA
This 77-nucleotide transfer RNA is filed under the name Thermohalobacter berrensis. RNAcentral describes it as "tRNA-Pro". It matches the Rfam family "tRNA". Rfam says of the family: Transfer RNA (tRNA) molecules are approximately 80 nucleotides in length. Their secondary structure includes four short double-helical elements and three loops (D, anti-codon, and T loops). Further hydrogen bonds mediate the characteristic L-shaped molecular structure. tRNAs have two regions of fundamental functional importance: the anti-codon, which is responsible for specific mRNA codon recognition, and the 3' end, to which the tRNAs corresponding amino acid is attached (by aminoacyl-tRNA synthetases). tRNAs cope with the degeneracy of the genetic code in two manners: having more than one tRNA (with a specific anti-codon) for a particular amino acid; and 'wobble' base-pairing, i.e. permitting non-standard base-pairing at the 3rd anti-codon position. The record is from RNAcentral. Lineage: Bacteria; Bacillati; Bacillota; Tissierellia; Tissierellales; Thermohalobacteraceae.